CGCGGCAGCCCGGCCUCGCGCCCACUCCUCGCCCGGCACACGGACCCCCUCCACCCCCGCGCCCUCCCCCACUCCGGAGCUGUCAAAGAAGAAAACGCCGUGCACACACCUUGGAAUGGACGGGCGCUUCAGUCACUGACUCGCCAAACUCUUAGAAGGUGUCCAUUGGUCUGCAGGGAGGUUUGAGCCUGGAGUAGGAGCCGCUUUCUUAUUAUUUAAUAAUGUUGGAAGUGCCGGGUCCGCUGCCAGAGUUGUGGGUCAUGUGGGCACAGCAGAGGCUGGCUGCUGCCAGUACCAGGGUUUCCUGAGGAUCCUGAAACUAUGAUCUCAUCCUCCUCAUCCGCCUCCCCCGCCCCUCUCUCCGCGGGCGCGCACGCACAGCACACACACACACACUCACACACACACUCAUGCUGAAUGCACUAUCUUCCUUCCUGGACCGAAAUAUUCCUCUAGGGAAAUAGUGGGCACGCUCGUCAUUGAAAAAAAAAAAAAUCCUUCAGAUAGAGAUUUUUCUCUUCCAAAGCUUGAUUUAUGUGCUUUGUUUAUUUCCUACAGUUUUCCCUCACACGUGCAGGAGAUUGGAACAGAGAAUCAGGUUUAAAAUUAAAAAUAAUUAUUCUCUUAUGUUGACCCAGAUUUUGGUCAGAACCCAAGAACUUAAACAGUACAAUUUCAAUUUAAAACAGAGGCAAAAUAUACAAGGCUUGAAUAUGGAAUAUUCUUAGAUGUAUGCAGUGGGUUUCUUUCCCAAGCUGCAAACAUUCCCCAAACAUUACCUCAUUUAUUUGCAGAGCAUCUUUGCAGAGGAGGUGGAUGAAAAGGCAAAUAGUAUUGUCACUUCAGAGACACAGAAGCAUAAGUAAGAUAACAUGACCUAUCCAAGUACACAUAAUAAGUCAGUAUCUCACUAUAAAUAUUAAUUGCAUAGCUACUCACAGGUUGCUUUUUCACUAUGAUCAAUUCCCAGAUACUUAGUUUACUGAAAAUAAUGAAAACAUUGUUGAUUAUUUUUAAGUUACCAAGAUUGAAAAUUAUUUUAUCUUACUAUAUGUAUGUUUUCAUAUAAUUUUCUCUUGUAUUAUAUUUCCAAUUUCACGUUUUCAUAUAAUUUUCUUUCUUUUUGGAGGAAUGUGGCAUGUAUAUGCAUACAUUUAUAUCCAAUUGCAUUGUUUAAAUCCUUAGAUAGUAAUUUCAAGCAAUUUUAGCCAAUGUUUCUGAAGUAGUCACCAAUUUCAUAAUUUGUAUAUGUCAUUCAAACCCCUUUCACCUGGUGUAUGUGAAGAGCUACGCUACAUUUUGAAGGAUAGAAAGAAGUUUAAUAUAAGUAUCUGUCUUUAGUUUACAUCUAGUUGUUGAAACAAGAUACAUAUACUGAAUGACUGCAGAUAAAAACCUUUAUUAUUUUGGUGGUGUGAGUUAUCACAAAGAAAGUACAAAAUACACUUAUUUUCUUUUUACUUAAUUUCUGUUCCAUGUUCAAAUCAUCUCAUUUGCCUAUGUGCCCUAUAUUUCAAUCUGUCAUUAACCCUCCUACCUUCUAAAUGGCCAAGGUAAUUAUGUCUAACCUUGCCCUUCUCUUACACUGGCACCAUACUCACAUAAACAGUAAAUGGGGAUUGUUUUAUGUCGUAAAAUUUCCCAGAAGGAACACUCUUGGGUAGCUUCUGUUCAGUGUAGAUAAGGAACUCCAGCAGCUAACUAGCCUUCUAAUAACCCAAAAAGAAAACAAAUAGUAUGAAAGAGAGAAUGGUCAGAGAAAAGGCAGAAGAGAAAGCAGUCAAGAGGGGGGAAAAGGAGGGGGAAUUAAGUUACAAGAUAAGAAAGAAGAGAAGGAAACAAAAGGAGAAGAAAAAGAGGAUCAACUUUCGUGUGAAAGCUAAAAUUUUCCAAAUUUUGGUGCAUGGAAAACAAAUUCAGGAAAUUGUAGACUUUCUUAUUGAAUUUUUUUUUCCUAAACAAACUUACAGGAAUUUGGUGGCAAUGACACCAGGUGUUGGUUCUGCAGAGGAUGUGCUGAAAGAUCUCAAGUUUUUAAAAAGUAUAGGAUCCGCUAAAAGAAAUAUGUAGACCUAUUAGUAUAGUGUAAUAAUAAAAAUGACAAUGGGAUCAAAUAGCCAUGGUAUAUAAAUUUUUAAGAAGAAAUUAACACUGAAAUUAAGGGAGAUAGAUGGGAAAGCAAAGGCACUGGUAUAAUAAAGUAGGCAAUGAAGAGAUAAGUUUGCAAUAUUUAAAGCAAAAUAAUAUUAAUAAUAUAUUUUAAAGCACUUUCAGAUUUUUCCAGAUCUUUUCAUACAUUUUUAUGGAGUCUAAUAAUAAUCAGAAGUAGUCCCCUUUAUGGACUUCAUUUUUAAAGAGUGAUAAUUGUCCCUAAUUUUUUGUAAUACAUGUUGAAUGGAGAAGUACUCAAAAUUUUCAUUCAUUGUUUUGAAACUAUUAUAUUUUCUGAUCAGUCAACUCUAAAUGUUACUUAGUAUAUCGUCUUCCAAUACUUCUCCUAAACAAUAAGUCUAGAUGGAUUUCUGGGCGUAGAUUGUAACAGUGAUUUAUAAUCCAGGAUUUUACACAUGCUUUUGGAGUUAAACUAGAAGCUUUAGUAUGCAGCAGACUCUAAUGGCUUUGCAGCAUUCCUGGGAGAUUUCUGCAAAAGAGGUGGAGGGCUAAAUUGAACAGCAAUAUAUCAAGAGCACUUUCCUUUUGAUCAGCAUACUCAUAGCAGGAUUUGUUUUAAUUAGAGAUAUAUUUAGGUUUGAUGAUUAUUACAUGUGUUUCAGAAGUGCAUUACAACUUCGGUGGCUCAACAAUUACUAGCAGUUUGUGUCAGAAUUCCUUCAUUUGGGGAAAAAUAUUUUUAAUGUGGUUAUGCACAAACAUUUAUGGUUUGUACUAAUUUAAGCUAUCAUUAUCAACGAAAAUACAUUCCUGAUGUUUAUUGUUUUGCUCUUACAAUUUCUUGCUUUUUAAAAUUAUAAUUGAUAUGAGAAUGGCCAUGGGUAAAAUCAGAAUGUUCACUAUAUUAUGUUAAUAGUAAAACUCUAUGUGUGUACCUAUGGUUUAAUAUGUAAUGAUAUAUAGAGUAUACAUGUGCUUUGGGUCAAAUGGGGAUGGUUACUAUUAUCUAUAAACUGAUAAUAGUUUGGGGGCAUGAGGAAUUAACAAUUUUGGAGUAUUUAAAUGAUUCAAAAGAGUUGAAAAAAUAAAGACACUGCUAUUUUAUCAAUUAGAAGCUCUUACCCCUUGGAUGUAGACUGUUUCAGGGAAGAAUGGGGUCUUGAAAAACACAAAAUAUACAUAAAUUUUGCUUCCCCAACCGACUGGUUAGCUUUCAAGAAUGAGAAGUAUGUUAGCAGUCCCACACGGGUCAAGAAAAUAGAUCAACUGAGCUGUGGCGUGGGGAAUUCAUGGUUAGUUUUUUUCUUAUGAGCACUACCAAAUUUUGAGGCUAAGGUGGGCCCUAGGCAGAAUUAUGAAGUAGAUGAAUUUUGUCUCCCUCCAUUUUUCCCCCAAUGUCUCCUUCUUCCUGCAGAAGCCCUGACUGCCUUUGGGCUCCCAGGGAUAGUCAGCAACCCCUUGCUGUUCUCUCGCUUUUCCGAAUACCCGCAUUGUGGAACUCAUCAGCAGUGUAAAACAGAUAUCAUGUUCUGACCUCCCCUGAAAUGUGUAAAUGGUGUCCUAAGUAUUCAUGAAACCUGAGGGGAUGUGAGUAUGUGUUCAUAUUAAAAAACACCAAGGGUGUCUGUCUAUUCAGUCUCCUUCUGCAUCACUUCAAGAUGUAUAUUUAUAUAAGUUUAAUAUGUAUUCGCCUAUGAAACUCAGCAUUAAGACAUGGCCCUGUCAGCUGUUAGGGGGUAAUUGCUAAGUCUAAGAGAGCCGAGGUAGUCUUCCUUUCAUCCCACCUAUGCUCUGUCUCCUUAGCUAGACUGAAGCCCCCUGCAUAUGAGCAGGGCCUCCGAGCUCGGCAGUCCCUGGCAGUGCCUAUUAUGGUGCUCUGUUGUGAUGUCUCCUUUGUCGAUCUUCCUGUCUGGCUGACAACCUCAGAAGAAAUGUUGUUUCCAUUCUCCACGGUCUUCUCAAACUGAAGGAGAGAACCUAGCUUCAGAACUGGUGUAAGCGGUCAAGUGUAUUUUGUUUCUUAGUGUUAGAAUGAACAAAUCUGUUGACAUUCUAAAUGGCUGUAAGUCCACCUUAUAAUGGCAAUUCAUUAAAUACAUAUUAUGGUGAUUCACAUCUCUCAAUGGCAUCAUACCAGCAUGCCCUUUACUCCUGGGAGAAUUUAUUUUCUCAAUGGACCAUAAACAAAAUACAAAUGUUUUAGAUGAAACUUUAAUGCACUGUCACGGUGAAGCCACAGCAGGAAAAAGCCACCUGGAGAAUAGCUUUUGAGAAGGUGCUUAUAAUCUACUCACUUUACUGCUAAAACUGUUUUUAACUCUACUUUAAAUUGCUUUUUGGCUGAAUGUGUGUGUGUGUGUGUGUGUGUGUGUGUGUGUGUGUGUGUCUGCCCAAGAAUACAGAAUAUCUUGAUACAUGUAACCAUGGAUUGUACUGAAUAAAUCAGAAAUAUCAAUGGCAAAUACUGGCAAAUAAAUCUGUUCAACAUAGAUGACUUAUCCAAAUAAUUAAAGACCAGAAAACCCCUACUACUUAUUGCACAUUAAUUAUCUGAAUAGCUGUCUACUUAUUUCAGGAAAAUGUCAAAAUUUUCUUUGAUGUUUUCUGAAGAAAACCUAAUGUUUUUAAAAAAUACCAAAGAAACUGUUACAAAGUGAAAAGCUUAGUCAAAACAAUUUUAUUUAUGAAAAAUCAGCUUGACUGAUUUAAUUUUUUCCUGCUGAAAUGAUUCUUUACAUAUCAGGUAGAUACAGCCCAAAUCUCUUGUAGACCAUCAGGAACUAUGUUAACAAGCACACAUUUUAAUUUGAAAGUUAAUUGCUACAGCAAAUACCAUAUAAUUUAUUUGAUGUUGAGAAGCCUUAUGUGUUAUGAAAAACUAAAUGAAAAAUAAAGGAGGGAGGAUGAAGCUAAACUAACCAAUUUGUCAUCUUUAAAAUUGUGUAGUAAAUAUGUGGGUAGAUCCAUAAUUAAAACUUAUUGUUGGGAAAUAGAAUAUUUUAGCCUUUAGGGGAUACAUUUUGAGAUAGUUCAAAGUGUAUUUAUAUGUGUAAUGAUUUUUCUAAUAAUAUGCAAAUUUUCUUUGUUAAUCAAGAUGCUUGUAUUUUAUAUGUGCCACAAAUAUCACACAAGAUUAUCUUGAUCUUUCCUCCUUUUUGUCCCUGACCUGCAUCACCAGAUCAGCUUGAACAUUCCACCUUGUUUCAGUGCUUUCUCAUUUACAUAUUGCUUUAACUUCCCCCUUUUUUAUGUCAAUCAGGUAGUCUGAAAGAAACAGGGAUAGCAGGGAUUUUACAUGUUUUAUCAUAACCAAAAACCAAAAGCUUUAAUUUGUACCCAGUUCUUAGUCUGUGGUCAGCAUUGUCUUUGCUGCUCAGUAGACAUAUCUGAACAUUUCCUGAUAUUGAAAUUGUUGCUAUUUUCAUUUGCACAUAUCUCAAGAAGCAUUUUAAGAUUCUCAAGGACAGUGCUUAUAAUGAAAAACAUUCUAUUACUUUUUUCUUCCCUAGAGAAUCAAGCAUGUUUAUAUCAUGUAGAAGGUUCUUGGAAAAUGUUUAUAAGAUUAGGAUGAUAGAAAUAUUUUUAAAAAUUACUUCUGGCAUUACACAGCAUAUGGAAAUAAUUUUUUGAGCUUGUGAAUUCCUUUGACAGAUCAUGUUUUUAUGUUUUAUAUGAACAAGAUGAACUGGAUACCUUGUUUGGUUUGCUUUUGCCAUUGGGGUACCUUUUGGUUUGUAUGUUUAAAACACAUCAAAAAAAUUUUGGAUGGCAGAAUUAUGUAUAUGGAAAGGUUUUCAUUUAAAUUGUGUGAUCAAUACCACAGCCGUCUACUUCAUACUGUAAUGACAGUAAUUUAAUGAAGGAAAAGAAUUGUAACUUCCCUCAUUUAUAUCUGUGUCUUAAACGAUUACGGUAAAAGACUGUGAGCAUUUAAAAAAUAUUUUAUAUAGCCAGUCAUGGUGUUGCAUGCCUGUAGUAUUGGCUGCCUGGGAAGCCGAGGCCAGGGAUCACUUGAACUCAGGAGUUCAAAGUUACAGUGAGCUAUGAUCGCACCACUGCACUCCAGUCUGGGUGACAGAGCAAGAACCUAUGCUAGGAUAUAUAUAAAAGAAAUAGUGGAUAGUUUACGAUCUUUUGUUUUUUAUUUCAAAGAAAAUAAAAACAAUUUACUUAUUUUAUAGUAGAAGUGGAGUGAAUACUUUAAGGAUUAUGGUACAUAAAGUAUUCCAUAAUAAAUAUUCCCUCUCAUUUUCUUACCAUCAUUCAAAGUGCAUCCUUCAGCCUGGUGUUAUUCAUUUUCUUUGAGCUCGUAUCAAAGACUUACUCAUGGAAACACUAUCUUAAAACCUAUUCAUAUAAUGUGCCGUAUUGUUGUCUAACCAUUUCAUGUGUAUUAGACAUCAAGAUUGUAAACUUCUAAUCCAAUAUAUCAACUGUACAUUUCACAGCAUCUUGCAGUUAUUCUACAAAUACUUGCUGAUAGCUUUGUUGAUUAACUGAAAAUAGACUGCUAUUUUGACAUGACACUGCCCCAAAAUUGGAAAGAGUAAUUUCUUCUCUAUUUAUUAUUAAUCUCUAUGAGUUUCCAAAUAUUUAAAUAUAUUCCUAGUACAGCAUUAAAGUUGUUUAUAAUAAUGUCAUAAAAUUGAUAACAAGUUUUGUAUCUGUAUUUAUACAUAAGUGAAUAAAUAAAAAUUAAACCAAAA
This 6818-nucleotide long non-coding RNA is filed under the name Homo sapiens (human). RNAcentral's name for it is "non-protein coding lnc-NOL4-6:1". Lineage: Eukaryota; Metazoa; Chordata; Mammalia; Primates; Hominidae. The record is from RNAcentral.